This 458-nucleotide ribosomal RNA is filed under the name uncultured bacterium. RNAcentral's name for it is "partial 16S ribosomal RNA". It matches the Rfam family "Bacterial small subunit ribosomal RNA", at positions 338 to 795 of the family's 1533-position model. The record is from RNAcentral.
CCUACGGGAGGCAGCAGUGAGGAAUAUUGGUCAAUGGGCGAGAGCCUGAACCAGCCAAGUCGCGUGAGGGAGUACUGCCCUAUGGGUUGUAAACCUCUUUUGUCGGGGAGCAAAAGCCGGACGUGUCCGGCUGUGAGAGUACCCGAAGAAAAAGCAUCGGCUAACACCGUGCCAGCAGCCGCGGUAAUACGGAGGAUGCGAGCGUUAUCCGGAUUUAUUGGGUUUAAAGGGUGCGCAGGCGGAUUUUUAAGUCAGCGGUAAAAUCGUGGGGCUCAACCCCAUCCAGCCGUUGAAACUGGGGAUCUAGAGUGUGCGAGAGGUAUGCGGAAUGCGUGGUGUAGCGGUGAAAUGCAUAGAUAUCACGCAGAACCCCGAUUGCGAAGGCAGCAUACCGGUGCACAACUGACGCUCAGGCACGAAAGCGUGGGUAUCGAACAGGAUUAGAUACCCGAGUAGUC